GUCGAACGGAAAGGCCCUGCUUGCAGGGUACUCGAGUGGCGAACGGGUGAGUAACACGUGGGUGAUCUGCCCUGCACUUCGGGAUAAGCUUGGGAAACUGGGUCUAAUACCGGAUAGGAGCCAUCUUUAGUGUGGUGGUUGGAAAGUUUUUUCGGUGUAGGAUGAGCUCGCGGCCUAUCAGCUUGUUGGUGGGGUAAUGGCCUACCAAGGCGGCGACGGGUAGCCGGCCUGAGAGGGUGUACGGCCACAUUGGGACUGAGAUACGGCCCAGACUCCUACGGGAGGCAGCAGUGGGGAAUAUUGCACAAUGGGCGCAAGCCUGAUGCAGCGACGCCGCGUGGGGGAUGAAGGCCUUCGGGUUGUAAACUCCUUUCGCUAGGGACGAAGCUUUGUGUGACGGUACCUAGAUAAGAAGCACCGGCUAACUACGUGCCAGCAGCCGCGGUAA
RNAcentral lists this ribosomal RNA (448 nucleotides) under uncultured Actinomycetales bacterium. RNAcentral describes it as "bacterial SSU rRNA". It matches the Rfam family "Bacterial small subunit ribosomal RNA", at positions 61 to 523 of the family's 1533-position model. The record is from RNAcentral. Lineage: Bacteria; Bacillati; Actinomycetota; Actinomycetes; Actinomycetales.